RNAcentral lists this ribosomal RNA (433 nucleotides) under uncultured bacterium. Its description in RNAcentral is "partial 16S ribosomal RNA". It matches the Rfam family "Bacterial small subunit ribosomal RNA", at positions 29 to 507 of the family's 1533-position model. The record is from RNAcentral.
AGCGAACGCUGGCGGCAGGCCUAACACAUGCAAGUCGAACGAACUCUUCGGAGUUAGUGGCGGACGGGUGAGUAACACGUGGGAACGUGCCUUUUGGUUCGGAAUAACUCAGGGAAACUUGUGCUAAUACCGAAUGUGCCCUUCGGGGGAAAGAUUUAUCGCCAUUAGAGCGGCCCGCGUCUGAUUAGCUAGUUGGUGAGGUAGCGGCUCACCAAGGCGACGAUCAGUAGCUGGUCUGAGAGGAUGACCAGCCACACUGGGACUGAGACACGGCCCAGACUCCUACGGGAGGCAGCAGUGGGGAAUCUUGCGCAGUGGGCGAAAGCCUGACGCAGCCAUGCCGCGUGAAUGAUGAAGGUCUUAGGAUUGUAAAAUUCUUUCACCGGGGACGAUAAUGACGGUACCCGGAGAAGAAGCCCCGGCUAACUUCGUG